Molecule: ribosomal RNA, 301 nt
Filed under: uncultured bacterium
Lineage: Bacteria
Description: partial 16S ribosomal RNA
Rfam family: Bacterial small subunit ribosomal RNA
Source: RNAcentral
CAGCAGCCACGGUAAUACGAAGGGUGCAAGCGUUACUCGGAAUUACUGGGCGUAAAGCGUGCGUAGGUGGUGGUUUAAGUCCGUUGUGAAAGCCCUGGGCUCAACCUGGGAAUUGCAGUGGACACUGGCUCGCUAGAGUGUGUCAGAGGAUGGUGGAAUUCCCGGUGUAGCGGUGAAAUGCGUAGAGAUCGGGAGGAACAUCAGUGGCGAAGGCGGCCAUCUGGGACAACACUGACGCUGAGGCACGAAAGCGUGGGGAGCAAACAGGAUUAGAUACCCCAGUAGUCCCUGUCUCUUAUAC